This is an RNA transcript of Physeter macrocephalus (sperm whale), 951 nucleotides long. It is a transcript of the gene named adenosine deaminase tRNA specific 2, with no coding region annotated. NCBI's taxonomy places the organism in Eukaryota, Metazoa, Chordata, Mammalia, Artiodactyla, Physeteridae. The record is from RefSeq and is a predicted model, not a curated record. The transcript is spliced from 7 exons.
AAUGACAGCCCGCCACCACCGCGUUCCGUUGCCAGCGCUCCUCCUCCGCCGCGGCCUCUGUCGCUGAGCAAGGCUGCCCCGGUGCAGUAUGGAGCCGAAAGUAGGGUCCACGCAGACUAUGGGCGGCGCGUGCUCUGUGUUGGCGGAGGAGACCGAAAAGUGGAUGGAACAGGCGAUGCAAAUGGCCAAAGAAGCCCUAGAAAAUAUUGAGGUUCCUGUUGGCUGCCUUUUGGUCUACAACAAUGAAGUUGUAGGGAAGGGAAGAAAUGAAGUUAAUCAAACCAAAAAUGCUACUCGACAUGCAGAAAUGGUGGCCAUCGACCAGGCCCUAGAUUGGUGUCGUCGACAUGGCAAGAGUCCUUCUGAGGUGUUUGAACAGACAGUGCUGUACGUCACCGUGGAGCCGUGUAUCAUGUGCGCAGCCGCUCUCCGCCUGAUGAAAAUCCCGCUGGUUGUCUAUGGCUGUCAGAAUGAACGAUUUGGUGGUUGUGGCUCUGUUCUAGAUAUUGCCUCUGCUGAUCUACCGAAUACUGGGAGACCAUUUCAGUGCAUCCCCGGAUAUCGGGCUGAGGAAGCAGUGGAGAUGUUAAAGACCUUCUACAAACAAGAAAAUCCAAAUGCACCAAAAUCAAAGGUUCGGAAAAAGGAAUGUCAGAAAUCCUGAACUUGUUCUAAUGAAAGACUCGUGCUCCUGGACGACAUUCUUGGACAGAAAGCUGUUGACAUUGUUGAAUCAUGUAUCUUCAGGAUAGAUUCCUAGAAGUGGGAUCUCUCAGUUGAGAGGUAAGUGAAUGAAUUGUUUUGUUAGUCAUUGCCAAGUUCCCCUCCCAAAGGGCUGUGCCAAUUUGUAUUCCCAUCAGCAAUGCGUGAGAGUGCCUGUUUUCCCCUAACCCUGCCAAGAGGAUGUGUUGUCAUGCUUUUUGAAUUUUUGUUUAUCUGAUACGUGAGAAA